Oryza sativa Japonica Group (Japanese rice) is the source of this 197-nucleotide microRNA precursor. It matches the Rfam family "MIR812 microRNA precursor family". NCBI's taxonomy places the organism in Eukaryota, Viridiplantae, Streptophyta, Magnoliopsida, Poales, Poaceae. The record is from Rfam.
AAAGAAUUAAUUCUUAGAUUUCCGUGUCCAAUGUUUGACCGUUUAUUUUAUAUAAAAUUUUUUUUAUGAUUAGUAUAUUUAUUAUUGCUAGAUGAUAAAGCAUAAAUAAUAUUUUAUGCAUGACUUAUUUUUUUAAAUUUUUUCAUAUUUUUUUUCAAAUAAGACGGACGGUCAAACGUUAGACAUAGAAACCUAAG